CGGCGAGUGGCGAACGGGUGAGUAAUACAUCGGAACGUGUCCUGUAGUGGGGGAUAGCCCGGCGAAAGCCGGAUUAAUACCGCAUACGAUCUACGGAUGAAAGCGGGGGAUCGCAAGACCUCGCGCUAUAGGGGCGGCCGAUGGCGGAUUAGCUAGUUGGUGGGGUAAAGGCCCACCAAGGCGACGAUCCGUAGCUGGUCUGAGAGGACGACCAGCCACACUGGGACUGAGACACGGCCCAUACUCCUACGGGAGGCAGCAGUGGGGAAUUUUGGACAAUGGGCGCAAGCCUGAUCCAGCAAUGCCGCGUGUGUGAAGAAGGCCUUCGGGUUGUAAAGCACUUUUGUCCGGAAAGAAAUCCUCUGGGUUAAUACCCCGGGGNGGAUGACGGUACCGGAAGAAUAAGCACCGGCUAACUACGUGCCAGCAGCCGCGGUAAUACGUAGGGUGCGAGCGUUAAUCGGAAUUACUGGGCGUAAAGCGUGCGCAGGCGGUGAUGUAAGACCGAUGUGAAAUCCCCGGGCUUAACCUGGGAACUGCAUUGGUGACUGCAUCGCUGGAGUAUGGCAGAGGGGGGUAGAAUUCCACGUGUAGCAGUGAAAUGCGUAGAGAUGUGGAGGAAUACCGAUGGCGAAGGCAGCCCCCUGGGCCCAUACUGACGCUCAUGCACGAAAGCGUGGGGAGCAAACAGGAUU
This 695-nucleotide ribosomal RNA is filed under the name Burkholderia sp. Ms78. RNAcentral's name for it is "bacterial SSU rRNA". It matches the Rfam family "Bacterial small subunit ribosomal RNA", at positions 89 to 779 of the family's 1533-position model. The record is from RNAcentral. Lineage: Bacteria; Pseudomonadati; Pseudomonadota; Betaproteobacteria; Burkholderiales; Burkholderiaceae.